GGUGGCUCAGUGGUAGAGUGCUUGCCUUGCAUGCACGAGGUCCUGGGUUCGAUUCCUCAGCACCA
Dipodomys ordii (Ord's kangaroo rat) is the source of this 65-nucleotide non-coding RNA. The record is from Rfam. NCBI's taxonomy places the organism in Eukaryota, Metazoa, Chordata, Mammalia, Rodentia, Heteromyidae.